Triticum dicoccoides is the source of this 2004-nucleotide long non-coding RNA. RefSeq lists it as uncharacterized. The transcript is spliced from 3 exons. The record is from RefSeq and is a predicted model, not a curated record. Lineage: Eukaryota; Viridiplantae; Streptophyta; Magnoliopsida; Poales; Poaceae.
CCUAAUGUUUCCUCUUUCCGCAUCGAGGGCCGCCGCCGCCGCCGCCCCCCUCCCCUGGCCGCCCCGCGGUCUUCUAUCUCUCCAAGCUCCGCCGCCGCGCCCUGUCUUCUGUCUCUGCACGAAUCUCUGCUGUGGAAGCCAUGCCCUGCCGCGCCAUCCGGGCACGCCGUGUCCGGGAUGAUGGAGGUGAUGUCGGCCAGGUCCCUAUUCCCGUCGGCAUCUUUUGCGGCGGGACCCGUGGGGGCAGGUCCCUGUUCCAUUAUGCGUCGAUGGCGUCGGCGUGGCCUUCCCCUACCAAGCACGGCGGCUCCUUGGCUGGAUCAUGGUGAUGAUGCAGCCGGAUCGGCGGGGGCUAGGGAUCUCGCCGGCUGGCGUUUCUUUGAUGCCUGGGUGUUCCAAUGGUGAUGGAACAGAUGUAUAAUGUACGGUACAAGACUUUGGACGAGGCUGAUCUGCGUGGAUGAUUGUGGCUUGGCCGUCGGGCACACAAUCCAUUGAUUCACACAUAAGAAUAAAUUCUGCAAGGCCCGUGGCGACUGAAAAUUCUGCUUUAAGCAGUCCCUGGGAAUUACGUGCAGCAGGUGUAAGUCCUAUUUCCUCUAUGUUGGGAAUUACAUUUUUCUUCUAUAUACAGAAUAAAUUCUGCAAGGCCCGUGGCGACUGAAAAUUCUGCAAGGUUUUAUGUACAUGAAAAGGUAAAUUUCAUAUAGUUGCAAUUGCAACCAGAGAAUCCAUGGUUUGUUAGUUUGUUUCUCAUUAUAUGCAUGAUCUUUCCUUUGAAAUUCCAAUAUUUAUAUUGUAGAAUUGCCAGUUAUAGAACAUAUGACAAGGUAUUUUCAGUUGUGAUAUCAGAGUGUCCUUUUUGUAAUUUUCAUUUGUAGCACUGAGUUGUGCAGAUUUAUGAUGGUCAAAAUAAUGUUGGCUAAAUCUAUUAGUAGAGUUAUUUAUUCUGUUCUGCACACCUGAAUAUUCAGAGUUAUAUGCAUGCAACGACGUCUACAUGUACUCGGUCGAUGAUCACUACUCUGCAGUACAAAAUUUCUAUGAGCACACUUAAGCAGAGUUAUAUGCAGACAAUUAACAGUAAUAGCAAUUGUUGUUAUUUUCAGAGCAGUUUUAAUUUUAAAAAACAUGUACUUGAUUAAUCUUUUCUUUUCUUUCAUGCAACGAAUAGAGUAUACACAAUAUACUACAAUUUGGUGUAACCCACACAAGGAUUCAAGAAGCAGGGCCAAACAGGACUAAUGAAGACAUAGCACAGUACUGUUCUUCAGGAUAUGAUGUUUAUUUUUGCCAAAAUUAUUAAGAGAUGAAGUAGUUUAUUAGGUUUCCAUUCCUUAUAUUGUGCAUUUUUUAUGUGACUAUUCUCGGUACAUAUAUUCUUAAGAAAAACAAGAUAGUUGUUGAAUGCUCUCUGAAACAUAGCAUAGAUUUUUCGUCGAAAAUAAUACUCUAUUUACUUUGAAUGUGAGUUCUGUUUUGCUUUAAACAGCUGAGUGCAUUCUGAAAUAUUGUCUCAAAGAACAAGGUGCAUGUUGAGUAUUUCUCCUCCCUCCCUCAUCUGAGCGAAGAAGACAUGCUGGAGUUGGGCGACUUCCACACCUCCCUCAUCGACGGCGUCUACAAUAUACUUGGCAAAGUCGAGGACGUAUACAAGAUUCUCGGCAACGACAAUGGUGUCUCCUUCCACCUUUUCAACAAAACCACACUUGGCGCCAGUGGUGGUGUCUAAUCCUUGAUGGUGGGGGUCUCAUUUUGGGGGAAAUCUGGAGAAGUCUUGGUUUGAUGGAGUUUUGCUAUCAACUUACUGUAUCUCAUUGAGGGAAAACUUGGAGAAUUUUCAGACUAUGGGUUCACAACAGAGCAUUGCAGUCAAAUUGCUAAAUCAGUCAGCAAGUAACGGGCAUGAGCAUCGUGUAUGUCGUGUUUUACUAGCUAGAAAAUACAUUCCUAGAAAGGAUUGGUGCUUGGACAUGUUACUCUUGUGCGAUAUCAUAUUUACAU